GACUUUGAUCCUGGCUCAGGAUGAACGCUGGCGGCGUGCCUAACACAUGCAAGUCGAACGAAGCACCUUACUUGAUUCUUCGGAUGAAGGUCUGGUGACUGAGUGGCGGACGGGUGAGUAACGCGUGGGUAACCUGCCCUGUACAGGGGGAUAACAGCUGGAAACGGCUGCUAAUACCGCAUAAGCGCACGAGGAGACAUCUCCUAGUGUGAAAAACUCCGGUGGUACAGGAUGGGCCCGCGUCUGAUUAGCUGGUUGGCAGGGUAACGGCCUACCAAGGCAACGAUCAGUAGCCGGUCUGAGAGGAUGAACGGCCACAUUGGAACUGAGACACGGUCCAAACUCCUACGGGAGGCAGCAGUGGGAAUAUUGC
RNAcentral lists this ribosomal RNA (373 nucleotides) under uncultured bacterium. RNAcentral's name for it is "bacterial SSU rRNA". It matches the Rfam family "Bacterial small subunit ribosomal RNA", at positions 9 to 367 of the family's 1533-position model. The record is from RNAcentral.